ACAGUACAGCACAGUGGAGCGCCUCACAGUACAGCACAGUGGAGCACCUCACAGUACAGCCCAGUGGAGUGCCUCACAGUACAGCCCAGUGGAGUGCCUCACAGUACAGUCCAGUGGAGUGCCUCACAGUACAGCACAGUGGAGCACCUCACAGAGCCUCACAGUACAGCACAGUGGAGCGCCUCACAGUACAGCACAGUGGAGUGCCUCACAGCUCCUCACAGUACAGCCCAGUGGAGCGCCUCACUGCUCCUUACAGUACAGCCUAGUGGAGCGUCUCACAGUACAGCCCAGUGGAGAGAGAGAGGGAGAGAGAGAGAGAGAGAGAGAGAGAGAGAGAGAGAGAGAGAGAGAGAGAGGACAAUCACUGACUGUGAAUCAGUGGGAGACUGCUUACAACCUCCCUCUUCUCUCCCUUCACCUCCUCCUCUUCUCCCACUUCUCUUCCUACUCCUCCUCAUCUUCUCCUACUUCUCUUCCUACUCCUCCUCAUCUUCUCCCACUUCUCUUCUUACUCCUCCUCAUCUUCUCCCACUUCUCUUCCUACUCCUCCUCAUCUUCUCCCACUUCUCUUCCUUCUCCUCCUCUUCUCCCACUUCUCUUCUUACUCCUCCUCAUCUUCUCCCACAUCUCUUCCUACUCCUCCUCAUCUUCUCCCACUUCUCUUCCUUCUCCUCCUCCUCUUCUCCCACUUCUCUUCCUACUCUUCCUCCUCUUCUUUCCCUUCUCCUCCUCCUCUUCUCCCACUUCUCUUCCUACUCUUCCUCCUCUUCUCUCCCUUCUCCUCCUCCUCUUCUCCCACUUCUCUUCCUACUCUUCCUCCUCUUCUUCCACUUCUCUUCCUACUCCUCCUCCUCUUCUCCCACUUCUCGUCCUUCUCCUCCUCCUCUUCUCCCACUUCUCUUCCUACUCUUCCUCCUCUUCUCUCCCGUCUCCUCAUCCUCUUCUCCCACUUCUCUUCCUACUCUUCCUCCUCUUCUCCCACUUCUCGUCCUACCCCUCCUCAUCUUCUCCCACUUCUCUUCCUACUCCUCCUCAUCUUCUCCCACUUCUCUUCCUUCUCCUCCUCCUCUUCUCCCACUUCUCUUCCUUCUCCUCCUCCUCUUCUCCCACUUCUCUUCAUACUCUUCCUCCUCUUCUCCCACUUCUCUUCCUACUCAUCUUCUCCCACUUCUCUUCCUACUCCUCCUCCUCUUUUCCCACUUCUCUUCCUACUCCUCCUCCUCUUCUCCCACUUCUCUUCCUACUCCUCCUCCUCUUCUCCCACUUCUCUUCCUACUCCUCCUCAUCUUCUCCCACUUCUCUUCCUACUCCUCCUCAUCUUCUCCCACUUCUCUUCCUACUCCUCCUCCUCUUCUCCCACUUAUCUUCCUACUCCUCCUCAUCUUCUCCCACUUCUCUUCCUACUCCUCUUCUCUCGUUCCUAACUUCACAUUUGUAAGAGCUCCGAUCCACUCAUCUGACAGUGGGGUGCUUGUGAGUCACUCUACUGGGCUUGUGAGGCACUCCACUGGGCUUGUGAGGCACUCCACUGGGCUUGUGAGGGUAGAGGAGAGCAACGUCACAGCAGACAUGAUACAUCCGCAUCUGCUCUGGUCUAAAAAUAUGCUCCACAGGGCACAACUGAAGCUUGUGGAUGGGCUGUGUGAUGGGCUGUGUGAUGGGCUGUGUGAUGGGCUGAGUGAUGGGCUGUGUGAUGCUGCUAGAGGCCUGGCCCACAAUAGAAACUUCUGA
This 1734-nucleotide long non-coding RNA is filed under the name Oncorhynchus mykiss (rainbow trout). Its description in RNAcentral is "lncRNA (ENSOMYG00000059397.1)". Lineage: Eukaryota; Metazoa; Chordata; Actinopteri; Salmoniformes; Salmonidae. The record is from RNAcentral.